Molecule: ribosomal RNA, 497 nt
Filed under: uncultured bacterium
Lineage: Bacteria
Description: partial 16S ribosomal RNA
Rfam family: Bacterial small subunit ribosomal RNA
Source: RNAcentral
GAUGAACGCUGGCGGCGUGCCUAAUACAUGCAAGUCGAGCGAACAGACGAGGAGUUUGCUCCUCUGACGUUAGCGGCGGACGGGUGAGUAACACGUGGAUAACCUAUCUUUAAGACCGGGAUAACUUCGGGAAACCGGAGCCAAUACCGGAUAAUCUAUUGAACCGCAUGGUUCAAUAGUGAAAGACGGAUUUGCUUUUACUUAUAGAUGGUUCCGCGCCGCAUUAGCUAGUUGGUAAGGUAACGGCAUACCAAGGCAACGAUGCGUAGCCGACCUGGGAGGGUGAUCGGGCACACUGGAACUGAGACACGGUCCAGGCUCCUACGGGAGGCAGAAGUAGGGAAUCUUACGCAAUGGGCGAAAGCCUGACGGAGAAGCGGCGCGUGAGUGAUGAAGGUCUUCGGAUCGUAAAACUCUGUUAUUAGGGAAGAACAAGUGGGUAAGUAACUAUGCACGUCUUGACGGUACCUAAUCAGAAAGCCACGGCUAACUACGUG